AACGAACGCUGGCGGCAUGCCUAACACAUGCAAGUCGAACGAGACCUUCGGGUCUAGUGGCGCACGGGUGCGUAACGCGUGGGAACCUGCCCUUAGGUUCGGAAUAACUCCCCGAAGGGGGUGCUAAUACCGGAUAAUGUCUUCGGACCAAAGAUUUAUCGCCUUUGGAUGGGCCCGCGUUGGAUUAGCUAGUUGGUAGGGUAAAAGCCUACCAAGGCGACGAUCCAUAGCUGGUCUGAGAGGAUGAUCAGCCACACUGGGACUGAGACACGGCCCAGACUCCUACGGGAGGCAGCAGUGGGGAAUAUUGGACAAUGGGCGAAAGCCUGAGCCAGCAAUGCCGCGUGAGUGAUGAAGGCCUUAGGGUUGUAAAGCUCUUUUACCCGGGAUGAUAAUGACAGUACCGGGAGAAUAAGCGCCGGCUAACUCCGUG
RNAcentral lists this ribosomal RNA (433 nucleotides) under uncultured bacterium. Its description in RNAcentral is "partial 16S ribosomal RNA". It matches the Rfam family "Bacterial small subunit ribosomal RNA", at positions 29 to 507 of the family's 1533-position model. The record is from RNAcentral.